GCUGCUGUUCUGGUGCUAUGCGUUUCGUUUCUGAAUGCGUGCGUGCGUGCGUUGCUGUUCCAUCGGUCUGUGUAGUUAGUGGAUGGCGAUGGAUCUGAAUGCAGUAAGUUCGUCAGAGUGCGUGUGUUGUUCUAUCGGUCUCUGUAGUCAGUUCCUCUGUGGAAGGCGAUGGAUAUGAAUGCAAUGGGAUUGUUGGUUCUUCCUAUUUGAAUUUGGUCACCACCAACUUGUUAUGCCACCUAAAAUUUUCUCAGCAGAGAAAGUUAGUUGCGGUAAUUUUCGUUUGGAUCUUCAU
Molecule: long non-coding RNA, 295 nt
Filed under: Triticum aestivum (bread wheat)
Lineage: Eukaryota; Viridiplantae; Streptophyta; Magnoliopsida; Poales; Poaceae
Description: long non-coding RNA (TAES_LNC011295)
Source: RNAcentral